UACGUAGGCAGCAAGCGUUGUUCGGAGUUACUGGGCGUAAAGAGUGCGUAGGCGGUUUUCUAAGUUUGGUGUGAAAUCUCCCGGCUCAACUGGGAGGGUGCGCCGAAGACUGGAAGGCUUGAGUAUGGGAGAGGUAAGCGGAAUUCCUGGUGUAGCGGUGAAAUGCGUAGAUAUCAGGAGGAACACCUGCGGUGUAGACGGCUUACUGGACCAUAACUGACGCUGAGGCACGAAAGCGUGGGUAGCAAACAGG
This 253-nucleotide ribosomal RNA is filed under the name uncultured bacterium. RNAcentral's name for it is "partial 16S ribosomal RNA". It matches the Rfam family "Bacterial small subunit ribosomal RNA", at positions 524 to 776 of the family's 1533-position model. The record is from RNAcentral.